AACGCUGGCGGCAGGCCUAAMACAUGCAAGUCGAGCGGCAGCGGGUAAGUAGCUUGYUACUUUUGCCGGMGAGCGGCGGACGGGUGAGUAAYGCCUGGGGAUCUGCCCAGUCGAGGGGGAUAACUACUGGAAACGGUAGCUAAUACCGCAUWCGCCCUACGGGGGAAAGCAGGGGACCUUCGGGCCUUGCRCGRUUGGAUGAACCCAGGUGGGAUUAGCUAGUUGGUGAGGUAACGGCUCACCAAGGCGACGAUCCCUAGCUGGUCUGAGAGGAUGAUCAGCCACACUGGAACUGAGACACGGUCCAGACUCCUACGGGAGGCAGCAGUGGGGAAUAUUGCACAAUGGGGGAAACCCUGAYGCAGCCAUGCCGCGUGUGUGAAGAAGGCCUUCGGGUUGUAAAGCACUUUCAGCGAGGAGGAAAGGUCAGUARCUAAUAUCUGCUGGCUGUGACGUUMCUCGCAGAAGAAGCACCGGCUAACUCC
RNAcentral lists this ribosomal RNA (485 nucleotides) under Aeromonas jandaei. Its description in RNAcentral is "partial 16S ribosomal RNA". It matches the Rfam family "Bacterial small subunit ribosomal RNA", at positions 32 to 504 of the family's 1533-position model. Lineage: Bacteria; Pseudomonadati; Pseudomonadota; Gammaproteobacteria; Aeromonadales; Aeromonadaceae. The record is from RNAcentral.